GAGGGCACAGCUCAGUCGCAGAGCGUGUGCUUAGCAUGCCUGAGGUCCCAGGUUCAAUUCCCGGUGCCUCCA
This 72-nucleotide transfer RNA is filed under the name Camelus bactrianus (Bactrian camel). It matches the Rfam family "tRNA". Rfam says of the family: Transfer RNA (tRNA) molecules are approximately 80 nucleotides in length. RNAcentral also lists the same sequence under 2 other names. Lineage: Eukaryota; Metazoa; Chordata; Mammalia; Artiodactyla; Camelidae. The record is from Rfam by way of RNAcentral.